This 494-nucleotide ribosomal RNA is filed under the name uncultured bacterium. Its description in RNAcentral is "partial 16S ribosomal RNA". It matches the Rfam family "Bacterial small subunit ribosomal RNA", at positions 28 to 507 of the family's 1533-position model. The record is from RNAcentral.
GACGAACGCUGGCGGCGUGCCUAAUACAUGCAAGUCGAACGGUUUAGUUCCAAGAGGCUUGCCUUUUGGAACUAGACAGUGGCGGACGGGUGAGUAACACGUAGGCAACCUACCUGUCAAACCGGGAUAACCCCGGGAAACCGAAGCUAAACCCGGAUAAGCUCCUUUUUCGCAUGAAGGGGGAGUGAAAAGGUGCGACCUGAUGACAGAUGGGCCUGCGGCGCAUUAGCUAGUAGGUAGGGUAACGGCCUACCUAGGCGAUGAUGCGUAGCCGACCUGAGAGGGCGUACGGCCACACUGGGACUGAGAUACGGCCCAGACUCCUACGGGAGGCAGCAGUAGGGAAUCUUCGGCACUGGGCGAAAGCCUGACCGAGCCACGCCGCGUGAGUGAGGUAGGCCUUCGGGUUGUAAAUCUCUGUUGUUUGGGAAGAAGGGAAAGGGUAGGACCCUUAGGUGACGGUACCAAACGAGAAAGCCCCGGCUAACUACGUG